Long non-coding RNA from Cornus florida, 804 nucleotides. RefSeq lists it as uncharacterized. NCBI's taxonomy places the organism in Eukaryota, Viridiplantae, Streptophyta, Magnoliopsida, Cornales, Cornaceae. The record is from RefSeq and is a predicted model, not a curated record. The transcript is spliced from 2 exons.
GUCAUUAGUCAGACCAGACACCAGAGACGAGGCUUCUGUGUGUGACCAAGCAAGUUCAAGUAUGGUGGCUCAUGGCUGUACUAUUUUAAAUGACGAAAGUACCCAUCGCCUUCUAUUAAACACAUGGAAGUUCUGGGUAAAAUUUAGUAAUUUUCUCGAGGAUAGUGUUGUCAAGCUAUAUAUUAUGGUACCAAAGUCCUAUUCCGCGUAAAAUUGGCUCCUACAUUACAAUCUCCAUUAAUAAAAAUCUCUGUGUCUCUGUCUCUCUGAAAUCAAGAAAUAAGUUUGACAAGUAAAGAGAAGAAUGGGAGAUAAUGAAUCAGGAGGUUGCAAGCCAAUUGGUUUCCUGAUAGGGCUACCCUUUGCUUUUCUUGCUCUCAUUUUAUCUGUUGUUGGUGCUGUUGUUUGGAUCCUCGGGACUGUGCUGAGUUGUUUGUGCCCUUGCUGCUUUUGUUGCGGCGGACUUGCAAAAUUGGCAGUGAGCAUUAUAAAGCUUCCAAUUAAAAUCAUCAGAUGGUUCAUUGACAAGUUUCCUUGCUGAUUUUCAGUGCUACUCUGUAUGAAUUCAUAUCUAAAUGCCUUUGCACAGGCGCGCACGCGCGCACACACACACAUAUAGAUAUAUAUAUGCAACAUCCAUUCAUUAUUAUUUUAGUCAGUAUGUAAUUGCAAGUGUUAUGGUUAUUCAUUUUUCCAAAAUUCUUGUGAUUUUCUUGUUGAAUUACUAGCAAAGGCUUCAUGCUUUUUGAGCUUUAUGAUGUAUUCCCUUUUCUUUUCAAUGUAUCUUUGGAAUUUAAUUUAAAA